This 328-nucleotide unclassified non-coding RNA is filed under the name soil metagenome. Its description in RNAcentral is "partial contains 5.8S ribosomal RNA, internal transcribed spacer 2, and large subunit ribosomal RNA". The stretch from base 1 to 120 matches the Rfam family "5.8S ribosomal RNA", at positions 35 to 154 of the family's 154-position model. The record is from RNAcentral.
GAUGAAGAACGUAGCGAAAUGCGAUAAGUAGUGUGAAUUGCAGAAUUCAGUGAAUCAUCGAAUCUUUGAACGCACAUUGCGCCCCUUGGUAUCCCGAGGGGCAUGCCUGUUCGAGCGUCAUUUCACCACUCAAGCCUGGCUUGGUGUUGGGCGACGUCCUCUUUGGGGACGCGCCUCGAAACGCUCGGCGGCGUGGCACCGGCUUUAAGCGUAGCAGAAUCUUUCGCUUUGGAAGUCGGGGCCCCGUCUGCCGGAAGACCUGCUCGCAAGGUUGACCUCGGAUCAGGCAGGGAUACCCGCUGAACUUAAGCAUAUCAAUAAGCGGGGA